This 1383-nucleotide ribosomal RNA is filed under the name uncultured bacterium. RNAcentral's name for it is "bacterial SSU rRNA". It matches the Rfam family "Bacterial small subunit ribosomal RNA", at positions 18 to 1394 of the family's 1533-position model. The record is from RNAcentral.
CCUGGCUCAGGAUGAACGCUAGCUACAGGCUUAACACAUGCAAGUCGAGGGGCAGCAUGGUCUUAGCUUGCUAAGGCCGAUGGCGACCGGCGCACGGGUGAGUAACGCGUAUCCAACCUGCCUUACACUCUUGGACAGCCUUCUGAAAGGGAGAUUAAUACAAGAUGUUAUCAUGAGUAAGCAUUUUCGCAUGAUUAAAGGUUUACCGGUGUAAGAUGGGGAUGCGUUCCAUUAGAUAGUAGGCGGGGUAACGGCCCACCUAGUCUUCGAUGGAUAGGGGUUCUGAGAGGAAGGUCCCCCACAUUGGAACUGAGACACGGUCCAAACUCCUACGGGAGGCAGCAGUGAGGAAUAUUGGUCAAUGGACAAGAGUCUGAACCAGCCAAGUAGCGUGAAGGAUGAAGGUUCUAUGGAUUGUAAACUUCUUUUAUACGGGAAUAAACGAAUCCACGUGUGGAUUUUUGCAUGUACCGUAUGAAUAAGGAUCGGCUAACUCCGUGCCAGCAGCCGCGGUAAUACGGAGGAUCCGAGCGUUAUCCGGAUUUAUUGGGUUUAAAGGGAGCGUAGAUGGGUUGUUAAGUCAGUUGUGAAAGUUUGCGGCUCAACCGUAAAAUUGCAAUUGAUACUGGCAGUCUUGAGUACAGUUGAGGUAGGCGGAAUUCGUGGUGUAGCGGUGAAAUGCUUAGAUAUCACGAAGAACUCCGAUUGCGAAGGCAGCUUACUAACCUGUAACUGACAUUGAUGCUCGAAAGUGUGGGUAUCAAACAGGAUUAGAUACCCUGGUAGUCCACACGGUAAACGAUGAAUACUCGCUGUAGGCGAUAUACAGUCUGCGGCCAAGCGAAAGCAUUAAGUAUUCCACCUGGGGAGUACGCCGGCAACGGUGAGACUCAAAGGAAUUGACGGGGGCCCGCACAAGCGGAGGAACAUGUGGUUUAAUUCGAUGAUACGCGAGGAACCUUACCCGGGCUUAAAUUGCAACCGAAUAUGGCGGAAACGCUAUAGCUAGCAAUAGCGGUUGUGAAGGUGCUGCAUGGUUGUCGUCAGCUCGUGCCGUGAGGUGUCGGCUUAAGUGCCAUAACGAGCGCAACCCUUGCCGAUAGUUACUAACAGGUCAUGCUGAGGGCUCUGUCGGGACUGCCAUCGUAAGAUGUGAGGAAGGUGAGGAUGACGUCAAAUCAGCACGGCCCUUACGUCCGGGGCUACACACGUGUUACAAUGGGGGGUACAGAGGGCUGCUACCACGUAAGUGGAUGCCAAUCCCAAAAACCUCUCUCAGUUCGGAUUGAAGUCUGCAACCCGACUUCAUGAAGCUGGAUUCGCUAGUAAUCGCGCAUCAGCCACGGCGCGGUGAAUACGUUCCCGGGCCUUGUACACACCGCC